UUGGAGGGCAAGUCUGGUGCCAGCAGCCGCGGUAAUUCCAGCUCCAAUAGCGUAUAUUAAAGUUGUUGCAGUUAAAAAGCUCGUAGUUGAAUUUCGGGAUUAGUACGUCGGUCGUGCCUUAGGUACGUACUGGUGUUACUGGUUCCUACCUUCUGACGAACCAUCAUGUCAUUAAUUUGGUGUGGUGGGGAAUCAGGACUGUUACUUUGAAAAAAUUAGAGUGUUUAAAGCAGGCUCGCGCUUGAAUACAUUAGCAUGGAAUAAUGAAAUAGGACGUUGAUCCUAUUUUGUUGGUUUCUAGGAUUGACGUAAUGAUUAAUAGGGAUAGUUGGGGGCAUUAGUAUUCAAUUGUCAGAGGUGAAAUUCUUGGAUUUAUUGAAGACUAACUACUGCGAAAGCAUUUGCCAAGGAUGCUUUCAUUAAUCAAGAACGAAAGUUAGGGGAUCGAAGACCAUCAGAUACCGUCGUAGUCUUAACCAUAAACUAUGCCGACUAGGGAUCGGAUGAUGUUAUUUUUAAUGACUCAUUCGGCACCUUACGGGAAAC
Molecule: ribosomal RNA, 546 nt
Filed under: uncultured Glomus
Lineage: Eukaryota; Fungi; Glomeromycota; Glomeromycetes; Glomerales; Glomeraceae
Description: SSU rRNA
Rfam family: Eukaryotic small subunit ribosomal RNA
Source: RNAcentral